GCGAGAGUGGCGGAAUUGGUAGACGCGCUGGAUUUAGGAUCCAGUUCCUUCGGGAGUGGGGGUUCGAGUCCCCCCUUUCGCA
RNAcentral lists this transfer RNA (82 nucleotides) under candidate division GN15 bacterium. Its description in RNAcentral is "tRNA-Leu". It matches the Rfam family "tRNA". Rfam says of the family: Transfer RNA (tRNA) molecules are approximately 80 nucleotides in length. Their secondary structure includes four short double-helical elements and three loops (D, anti-codon, and T loops). The record is from RNAcentral.